Dama dama (fallow deer) is the source of this 77-nucleotide non-coding RNA. The record is from the annotation of a RefSeq genome assembly. Lineage: Eukaryota; Metazoa; Chordata; Mammalia; Artiodactyla; Cervidae.
UCCCUGGUGGUCCAGUGGCUUAAGACGCCAUGCUUCCGAUGCAGGGGGGGACCCAGGUUCAAUCCCUGGUCAGGGAA